RNAcentral lists this ribosomal RNA (1049 nucleotides) under Amanita flavoconia. RNAcentral describes it as "eukaryotic LSU rRNA". The stretch from base 398 to 551 matches the Rfam family "5.8S ribosomal RNA". Lineage: Eukaryota; Fungi; Basidiomycota; Agaricomycetes; Agaricales; Amanitaceae. The record is from RNAcentral.
CCUUACUGAUUUGCUGUUCCCUUUGCUAAAAAGGUCAACCUCUGCCCCCAACUCCUCCCCCUUACCAACGACCAUUCUUCCUUGGUCAUUUUUGAGGAAGUAAAAGUCGUAACAAGGUUUCCGUAGGUGAACCUGCGGAAGGAUCAUUACUGAGCGAAAUGGGUGGCAAGGCUGUCGCUGGCUCAAACGAGCAUGUGCACGUCUUUUGCUGCUUGCUUCAUUCUCUUUUCCACCUGUGCACUCUUUGUAGACACUCGGGAUGGGAGAGAGGUUGGCAUUGAUGGUUAACCUCUCUUGAUAUUGAAAAGUCUGGGUGUUUAUGUAUUUUUUGACAUACACGGUUGAAUGUCUAUAGAAUGAAAUGUAGGCUUUUGUCAGCCUUUAAAUGAUAAAAUACAACUUUCAACAACGGAUCUCUUGGCUCUCGCAUCGAUGAAGAACGCAGCGAAAUGCGAUAAGUAAUGUGAAUUGCAGAAUUCAGUGAAUCAUCGAAUCUUUGAACGCAUCUUGCGCUCCUUGGUAUUCCGAGGAGCAUGCCUGUUUGAGUGUCAUUAAAUAUCUCAAAAAGUUUGUGCUUUUUUGGCAUAAGAUUUUUUGGACAUUGGGAGUUGCCGGCUGCUGAUAAAAGUGGUGGGCUCUUCUGAAAAGCAUUAGUUGAGGAGCUUUGCACUCUAUUGGUGUGAUAGACUAUCUAUGCCAGGAGAUGCUUCAUGAUCCUCUGCCAUCUAAAUGUCUUUAUUAGACAACAUGAUAAACAUGACCUCAAAUCAGGUAGGACUUCCGGGUGAACUUAAGCAUAUCAUAAAAGGCGGGAAGGAAAGGGGAAUUUGGAGGGUUGCCUGGUACGAGGUCUAGAGAGUGAAGGGUGGUCUAAGCGCCGCAAUAAGGGUGUGCUGACGACGAGCCUAGAUGGGGCGGAGCCGGGAGGCUACAAGUGUAGGGAAAAGGGUAAGCUAUGUGGGGGUAUAGGCUGGAAUAUGCUUCGAAGGACUCGAACGAGGGUAGGAUGCUGCGGUAAGGACGACUCCCAACGGCAGAGACUGUGUUUC